AGGGAUCAUUACUGAGUGAGGGCUCACGCCCGACCUCCAACCCUUUGUGAACCAAACUUGUUGCUUCGGGGGCGACCCUGCCGACGAAUCCGUCGCCGGGCGCCCCCGGAGGUCUUCUAAACACUGCAUCUUUGCGUCGGAGUUUAAAACAAAUUAAACAAAACUUUCAACAACGGAUCUCUUGGUUCUGGCAUCGAUGAAGAACGCAGCGAAAUGCGAUAAGUAAUGUGAAUUGCAGAAUUCAGUGAAUCAUCGAAUCUUUGAACGCACAUUGCGCCCUUUGGUAUUCCGAAGGGCAUGCCUGUUCGAGCGUCAUUUCACCACUCAAGCCUGGCUUGGUAUUGGGCGUCGCGGUGUUCCGCGCGCCUUAAAGUCUUCCGGCUGAGCUGUCCGUCUCUAAGCGUUGUGGAUUUUUCAAUUCGCUUCGGAGUGCGGGCGGCCGCGGCCGUUAAAUCUUUAUUCAAAGGUUGACCUCGGAUCAGGUAGGGAUA
This 491-nucleotide ribosomal RNA is filed under the name Pseudocercospora cruenta. RNAcentral describes it as "eukaryotic LSU rRNA". The stretch from base 162 to 315 matches the Rfam family "5.8S ribosomal RNA". Lineage: Eukaryota; Fungi; Ascomycota; Dothideomycetes; Mycosphaerellales; Mycosphaerellaceae. The record is from RNAcentral.